UACCUACGGGAGGCAGCAGUGAGGAAUAUUGGUCAAUGGGCGGGAGCCUGAACCAGCCAAGUCGCGUGAGGGAAGACGGUCCUAUGGAUUGUAAACCUCUUUAGGCGGGGAGCAAUGCCGGGCACGCGCGUCCGGAGGGAGAGUACCCGGAGAAAAAGCAUCGGCUAACUCCGUGCCAGCAGCCGCGGUAAUACGGAGGAUGCGAGCGUUAUCCGGAUUUAUUGGGUUUAAAGGGUGCGCAGGCGGGCUGUUAAGCCGGCGGUAAAAAUUCAGGGCUCAACCCUGUCGAGCCGUCGGAACUGGCA
RNAcentral lists this ribosomal RNA (305 nucleotides) under uncultured bacterium. RNAcentral describes it as "bacterial SSU rRNA". It matches the Rfam family "Bacterial small subunit ribosomal RNA", at positions 335 to 638 of the family's 1533-position model. The record is from RNAcentral.